UCCCCAAAUCAUUUCUCAAAAAAGAAAAAAAGAACCAAAUCUCCAUUGACAUUGUAGCGGCGGCGGUGGUUCCCCAUGGCCUCCCAGGAGCAGCCACCAAGUCUGCCGCCGCCGGCGGACCCCGCCGCUACCACCACUCUAACCGGCCUCGGCGGCGACCUCCUCCGUGAGAUAUUCCUCCUGCUCCCGUCCCUGCCGAGCCUCGUGCGCGCGGCCUUCGCCUGCCGCACCUUCCUCGACGCCGUGCGCUCGUCCCCGGCCUUCAGGCGCCGCUUCCGCGAGCUGCACCCGCAGCCGCUCCUGGGCAUCUUCUUCGACCCCGACGGCCCCGCCAUCCCGGCCUUCGCGCCCCUCCGCCGCCGCGACGACCCGGACCGGCGGGCCGCCGUCCGGCGCGGGGACUUCUUCCUCACCGGGCUCCCCGACGACGACGACGACGCGCGCCCCGGCUGGGUCAUCAGCGACUGCCACGACGGCUACCUGGUGCUCGAGCACAUCUACACGCGGGAGGCCCUCGCCUACAACCCGCUCACGCUGGCCCUGGAUCUCCUCCCGCCGCUGCCGGACGAGUUCUACGAGGGCUUCCAGGGCCACUACAACGGCCUCGACUACCACGUCCACGCCCCCGAGGAGUGCCGCGACCACGGGGCGUUCCGCGUGAUCUACGCCUGCCACGACGACUCGCGGGCGCGCGCGGCGGUCUUCUCGUCGGACUCGGGCACCAGGGCGUGGCAGGUCCUCCCCUAUUCCGAAGCUCUGAGGACCAUCCCGGAGUCCGGCGAGCGCGAGCACUGGCUUACCGCUGGCAGGAUAGUGGACGGGUUCAUCUACUGGGUGUACUCGGAUGAAGCCGCCAUGCUCGUGCUCGACACCACCACGCUGCACUUCUCUCGGGUAGAUAUCCCAGCCUACUUGAAAGGACAGACCAGCAUGUUCAGGGUUGGCAAGACCAGGGAUGGGGUGCUCUGUGUCGUCGUCGCGAUCGAAUUCAACCUUUAUGUCUGGCUCCGGAACAUUCGCGAUGACGGCGUCGAGGUGUGGGUGAGAGGCCAGCGGUUUCAGUUGGACGACAUUGUUGAGGACACCGGGGGAACACUAGAGGAACACGGCCAGCUCAAGGUUGUGAGCGUUGUCGACGGAGUCGUCUACUUCUCUACCCAUGAGACCUUCGAAGAUGCCAAUCUUCCUUGCUGGUUCCUAUCCAUAGACCUGGAGGAAAACGCCCUGGACAUGCUCUUUCAGAGGAACUAUGACAGUCAUGUCCAUCCCUACAUUAUGCCUUGGCCCCGUUCUUUGGUACGCGACAAGGCGUGUCUUCAAGUUGAAGGCGCUCGAUGAAAUGUAGACAAGGCAUGAAUGAAGCCAACGAAACUAAGUCUACAUUCGUUUGUGUAUUGCGAAGGGAUUUACUGUUCGAUGUGAUUUCUGAAAAAAAUAAGUGUUACUGUCUCUACUACCACUGAAGAUGCCUCCUUUGGGAUGUCGUAGCAACUACAAGUCCUGAACACGAUGGAUGGAUCAUAUGGGGAUGUCUGAUGUGUAUCUGUAUUUGCAUCUCAGAGAUGUCAAGGAGCAUUGAUAUUAAUUUUUUGGGUAUCUGUAUCUGGUUAUGAACUCUUGGUGAUGUUCAGGAUGUAUGAAUGAAAAUUAACCAAGUUUGUGAA
Triticum urartu is the source of this 1664-nucleotide RNA transcript. RefSeq lists it as uncharacterized. The record is from RefSeq and is a predicted model, not a curated record. NCBI's taxonomy places the organism in Eukaryota, Viridiplantae, Streptophyta, Magnoliopsida, Poales, Poaceae.